This 1600-nucleotide long non-coding RNA is filed under the name Amborella trichopoda. RNAcentral's name for it is "long non-coding RNA (ATRI_LNC001539)". The record is from RNAcentral. Lineage: Eukaryota; Viridiplantae; Streptophyta; Magnoliopsida; Amborellales; Amborellaceae.
AUAUAAAGGAACCUCUCUCUCAGAGUUUAUGAUGUUUUUCAUUUUAACACAAACAAAGGCAUAGGAAGAUCUGCUCCUUUUAGUCUCGAAUUUGGGUGUAAACAGCUUGGUGCCCAUUGUGCAGCCCGUCAAGCGACUGCGUCGCCAAAACCGGUUAAAAACAACCCUCAAUUUCUGUUUCAGAGGUGAGUUUAGCAUUUUGGAGUCAAUCAGAGAAACAAAGCUUGGGGCCAUAGCAAUGGAUUUGCGUCAUGCACAACGCAUUCUGCAUCGAUCUUUCCGCACUUCAUUGAAAUUUUUCUCAAAAGAUAAAAUACUGCAACACAGGUGCAGUCUUGCAAGAUGCAUUACAUGUCAUCUCCGAUGUGAAAUGUGUUGCUAGUGAUGCUAAUCAUGUCACACUCGCUUUACUUCCUGGGAAAUCUUUUAGGAAAUUGAGAAUUUUCUCCACAUACUAAAAAAAUAGUAAAAUUAUCAAAAAAAGAGUUAGAACCUUUUGAGGUCAACAAUACCCCUCACUCAAACUGCAUCUCCUAGCGAGUCACAAUUGACUCGAGGUGCAUAGCACCUGUCAUGGAUCAUGCUUAAUGCUCUGAUUUCCCUUUUGGAUGUGUAGUUGCUUGACGAAUACAAUGCCCUUACGUAUUACAUGUGCUCUAUUACAUAUUGCCACACACUUAGCACAAACAAAAAUUUUCACAUUUUUCGAAAACCUCGAAACCAGCGGUGAAGUCAAGAAAGGAACCUAACUCCUAGAAGGACAGUUAGGAGGAUGUGCCAUUAAAGGGAGCAUCCUUCUACUUAUUUCUAGCCUCUAGGAGCAACCCAUUUCGAUUAGGACCUCUUUGAUGCCCAUAGGGGUCGGCUGGUUCCUAACAAGAGCAUAUCGAUACUACAACCAUCUUUUUAACUACCCCGACCAUUGACCUUACACAACCUGAAUUAGGUCAACUUUUAAGUAUUCCAUUCGGUUCAUUGCUUAGUUAGUCACAAAUCAUGUGCCAAGACCAAGCUAGGAUGGGGUCAGGCUCAGGCCCUGAGGCUGCAGCCUUGUUCUGGUUUAGGUCUAAGAAAUCAAACUGUCAAUCAGGUGGGGAUUAUUCCUAUGCUCCUUGGUACUCCCCACGAUCACCAAUUUUGAAGCACAGACCAUCAAUUUUGCAGGGCUCGAAGAACCUUGUAUGGUCAAUGGAUUAGAUUAGAAAGAUCUGGGUAUCAUACCUCAACUUCAUCGUUGUGGUCAAGCCACGGUAGAGGUCUAACCCGUAGUUAACCUCAAACUGGUCAAACUAGGGGAACCCUGAUGACCAAGUAACUUAACCCACCAAACCUGGAACCUCCUACUAGGAGUAUGAUCCCAAGUAGAGCCUCUAGCAGCAAGUCUAGCCAACCAUUGAUUCAUGGAGGCCAUCCACCUCCACCUCCAACCAAUACUCCAGUCGAGGGAGGCCACCCCGCUGAACCUUUGGUAAACUCACUCCUUCAAGCCAUAUGUAUAACAUUAGACCUAGGUUGAGCUUCCAGGCCCAUCUACACCAUGUAGUCAUAGUCAUUCUAUGAGCCAAUCAUUGACACGGCCAAUAUAAGCCAACAAACCAAC